AGCAACCAUUAUUAUACAAACCAAGAAACCUGCCUUAUGGAAAAUAUUUAACUGGAGAAGAUCUAAUACAGGACCUCCAAAAUAUCUUUGAUGCUUUCAGCAAGAAUGCUGAUAGAUUAACAUAGGCAGCACUCAAGGAAAUGAGAGCUUCAACAACAUAGUUUCCUCAAAAAACCCAAAGAACCGCUUUUAUGGUGGUUCCGAGUCCACUGCAUUCAGGGUUGCAGCAGCUGUUGCACAAAAGAAUAUUGGCACUGAUGUUCUUUCCAAGGUUUAUGACAACUUAUUACUGUCGCCGGGAAAGAAUACACAAUUGUUUCUUACUUGGGCAUCAAAGAAAAGGCAGUAUAACAGGAACAGAAAGGCCAGUACAGCAUACAAAAAACGGCGCUAUGAACUGAAGUCAUCAAUAGCUAAACAGGAGUCAACAGCUGAAGUAAAGGAAGGCACAACAUAUCAGACCGCAGUAGACCUAAACCCUACAGCAUCCUCAGAAACCACACAGGAAAUACCUGCAACAGUCCCACCAACACUCAAAGUGGUGGAAAAUGGAAAGAAUACAUUUCUUUACUUUGACCUCGAGACAACUGGCUUGGGUACUUCUUGUGACAUCACUAAAUAGGUAUGUGUGACUGAAAAAGAAAGUUUUAACAGGGAUAUCAGAAAAUUGUACAAAGGUAAGACAAGUAAUAAAAGUAAGUAUGAUCCCAUUUGUGUUGGACACUGUGU
Long non-coding RNA from Saccostrea echinata, 729 nucleotides. RefSeq lists it as uncharacterized. The record is from RefSeq and is a predicted model, not a curated record. Lineage: Eukaryota; Metazoa; Mollusca; Bivalvia; Ostreida; Ostreidae. The transcript is spliced from 5 exons.